GUUAGAUAUCCUAAAUGAGGUUUGUGAAUUAAGAAAACACUUUGAACAUUCAAGUGAUCAAAAUCCCUGAUGAUAAAGAUGGGUGUCAGAAAUUCCCCAGUUCCAGUUGUUGGUCCCACAGCACUUACAUGAUUCACUACCUGUUAAUCUAGGCUGUCUGUACAUUUACUGUAGAGGUAACUGUAUGGUGGGAUGAUAGUAAUUACAUAUUCUGUCCUCCAUAGCACUCAGAAAUGUAAGAGGUGUGCGAUGUCAAGAGCAGAGGAAAUUCAAAGUCCAUCCCAUUGUUGCCAUCUUUGUAUCUGCCUCUCCAAGUCUGGAAGUAAAACCAGCAAGCCAUAGUGCAGGGUUCCCAGUACCUCUGCCCAUCCUGGAAAUAAAAGGUAUUGGCAGACAAGUUUUCCCA
This 406-nucleotide long non-coding RNA is filed under the name Cyanistes caeruleus (blue tit). Its description in RNAcentral is "lncRNA (ENSCCEG00000012783.1)". The record is from RNAcentral. Lineage: Eukaryota; Metazoa; Chordata; Aves; Passeriformes; Paridae.